Molecule: ribosomal RNA, 467 nt
Filed under: uncultured bacterium
Lineage: Bacteria
Description: partial 16S ribosomal RNA
Rfam family: Bacterial small subunit ribosomal RNA
Source: RNAcentral
GAUGAACGCUGGCGGCGUGCUUAACACAUGCAAGUCGAACGGAAAGGCCCAAGCUUGCUUGGGUACUCGAGUGGCGAACGGGUGAGUAACACGUGGGUGAUCUGCCCUGCACUUCGGGAUAAGCCUGGGAAACUGGGUCUAAUACCGGAUAGGACCACUUCUUGGAUGUUGUGGUGGAAAGUUUUUUCGGUGUGGGAUGAGCUCGCGGCCUAUCAGCUUGUUGGUGGGGUAAUGGCCUACCAAGGCGUCGACGGGUAGCCGGCCUGAGAGGGUGUACGGCCAAAAUGGGACUGAGGUACGGGCCAGGAUCCUACGGGGGGGAGCAGGGGGGAAAAAUGCAAAAUGGGCGCAAGGCGGAUGCAGCGACGCCGCGGGGGGGAUGACGGGCUUCGGGUUGUAAAAUCCUUUCGCUAGGGACGGAGCGUUUUGUGACGGUAACUGGAGAAGAAGCACCGGCUAACUACGUG